GAAUUGCAAAACAGAAGUGAAAUUUUCCUCUUGAUCUGUCUAUAUAAACACUUCUUUCUUUUCUUUGUAAAAGGGGGACAACACAAUAAUAAACUCUUUCUUUCUCUCAAAAACCUCACUCUCAUCUCCCUCUCACAACUCCUUCCACGCCAUACCCUUCCACCUCCUUUGAUUAUCCCACCAUCCUCAACAUCACCUUCUGUCAAACAAAAAAGCGCACAGCAUCACACAAACUCCCAUUCAAUUCACCUACACAAAAACAAAACCCCUUCAAUCCUAUAUUCAACUCUUUCAUUUUCCUAUGUGCAAAACCAAAAUGGCCAUUAA
Non-coding RNA from Vicia faba (fava bean), 327 nucleotides. The record is from the annotation of a GenBank genome assembly. Lineage: Eukaryota; Viridiplantae; Streptophyta; Magnoliopsida; Fabales; Fabaceae.